RNAcentral lists this long non-coding RNA (1227 nucleotides) under Homo sapiens (human). Its description in RNAcentral is "PREDICTED lncRNA (TCONS_00076229)". Lineage: Eukaryota; Metazoa; Chordata; Mammalia; Primates; Hominidae. The record is from RNAcentral.
UUCCUUCCUUCCUUCCUUCCUUCCUUCCUUCCUUCCUUCCUUCCUUCUUUCUUUUUGAGAUGGAGUCUUGCUCUAUCACUUAGGGUGGAGUACAAUGCCACGAUCUCAGCUCACCGCAACCUCUGCCUCAUGGGUUCAAGCAGUUCUUGUGCCUCAGCCUCCCUAAUAGCUGGGAUUGCAGACGCGUGCCAUCAUGCCUGGCUAGUUUUUGUAUUUUCAGUAGAGAUGGGGUUUCUCCAUGUUUCCCAGACUGGUCUUGAACUCUUGACCUCAAGUGAUCCACCUGCCUCUGCCUCCCAACAUGCUGGGAUUACAGGCAUGAGCCACCACAUCUGGCCAGUUAUUCAUAAAAAAAUGAAAUAUACCUCAAAUUAAUGAACAUAUAAAUGAGUAUAAAUGUUUAUACAUUUAUUAAUUUGAGGUAUAUUUGAAAAGCAAGGAUCAAUGGAGAGAAGGUCUCAUUUUUGUUGUCAUCUCUUCUGCUCUGUACUCAGAAUGGAAGCACAGAAGCUGGUUUUAAUAGUUAAGAGCUGUAUGGUCCAUCUCUGUGCUAGAAGCUGGAGACCAAUAACAGUCACUCCCUGCACUGAUUCUGCCAUGACCACUUGCUCUAUGGUUGUUUUAAGGAACCUACAGACAAAUAAUGGAUUAUCAUUGGUGAAGAUCUUAGCUGUUCCAUAGAAGGAACACACUUAUCACUACAGUGAUUCUGUAAUGAUGAAGACCUUUAUGGGAUGGGUAGACCAGAGCUGAUUAAAUUAUUCUCCCAUUGAUGAGGAACUUUACCUUAUCCCUCAGAGUAAGGAGAAUGUCAUAUAAUGAAAGAUACUGAUCUCUGUUCUUGGUUAAGUUCCAAGAACCAUCUAAGUUUCGUGCCCCUCAGCUGUAAAAGGGAAGUACAUUUCAUUUGUUUAUUCUGUAAAACUCUCGGUGUGUGCCAUGGCCAUGCACUGAUGAUGAGCACAUGUGUGCGGCCCCUGCCCCCGUGGAGCGCAUGCAUGGUCCUCCAGCCAGAGACCGCGCUGGGAGAAAUCAGGGGUUCACUCCUGGUCGGAGGAGCAAUCCAUCAGUCAUCCUGCCCAGAGCUUGUGAAGGUGCAGUGGCCUGAGCCAGGCUUCCAAGAGGACAACCGUGAUGGGCUCUGUGUGCGUUGCUGGGAGGACUUUUCAAUGUGAUGGCAGCCUGGGGGAAGACAGUGUCACCACGACAGUGUCACGGAACAUGCAG